Long non-coding RNA from Nerophis ophidion (straightnose pipefish), 1815 nucleotides. RefSeq lists it as uncharacterized. Lineage: Eukaryota; Metazoa; Chordata; Actinopteri; Syngnathiformes; Syngnathidae. The record is from RefSeq and is a predicted model, not a curated record. The transcript is spliced from 3 exons.
CAAUUAGUUGAUGUCGCCAAAGAAGCAGCUGUUCUUUCCAGUCGCUCCAUCAGCAGUCCUGUGUCGUUGUUUGGAGUCCCUCGGGUUCCCAUCUGCGCACACAGCGCCGAGCCAGCGCCCCAUGUGUGCUGACGGCGGAUAAACCAUCACAUUGCGUGUUGUUUGGUGAAAGGGAGUCAAAGCUGGAAGGGCACAGUCAGACACUUGAUUAAGCAGAUCCUAGAAGUCCUAAACAUGUCUGGAUGUGGCAUUCAACCUUCUAAUGUUGGGCUCUAGAAGGCAAUGUUGUCUGGCUUCGGGUAAAUGGAUGGCCGCAGCAGGUGUUGGUUCUCACGGGAAGGUGCAAACUCUUAUGGGAUAUCUAAAAAUACCAGAAAGGAUACAAGCCAUGCAACCCUCAGAGGCCAGCGGGGUGGUGUUGAGUUGCCAAGGGUUGCAUAAUGGCUUAGUGGCCAGCAUGUCAGCUUUUUUACAGUCAGGAUGCAUUCGAAUGUCAUUUGGGGAAUCUCGUUGUGGAGUUUGCAACUCAGUGCUGUCUCGCUGGCGGCUUCUUGCUCGCUCGUGUUUGCGCUCUCGUGUGUCUCCUCUCUUCCCCGUUGUCAUGGCUGCUAAGACGACCAGCUGCUGCUAAGACGACCAGCUGCUGAUAAGACGACCAGCCUCAGCUGGGCAAUCCACUCACCUGUCAGCUUGGACUUCGAAGCCGGGCCAUACACACUCCCUUCCGCAGGAGGCGCGCCGACCACGUCUCCCUCCACAGUGUUAUUUCCCAAAAUUCAAAGCUCCCAAAGGGUUUGUUAUUGCAGAGGUAGCACUUGAAGUUUACAAAAUGUUUAAUUUUGUUGCUUAUUAUCAAUUAAUUCCGGUUUAUGUGGGAGUCUCAGACUGGAAAUGCAUUAAAGUGUCAUUUGCACCAAUACACUAAGAUUUGUAAGCACAUGGUCAUGUGAAGUCAUACAAAGGAAAUCCCGGGUUUGCAAUAAUAAUGAUAUUAGCAAGAAAAACAGUAAUUUUUAAGAUAGACUGCCGACUGUCAAGGUGAAAAAAGUGAGUGAAACUGUACAAAAAAGUUGCUUGAUUGCGUAUUAAUGUCAUAUAAAAUACAAUUACAUGCUAGUGUGUGAAUGUUGUCUGGUGCAAGUGACCCGGAGAGUGAUAAGUGGUAGAAAAUGGAUGUACAGUUAGUAGUAUCAUGCUGAAAAAGAGGUUUUUGGGAAAGAUUGCAACAAUACUAAGCAAACACGUUUACGACAGACUGAAUGCUUCUUUUUUUUUUCAACAUUGUACAGCUAUGAACACAGCCAGUGCUCGGAAUCUCCCUGAGUGGCAAUGAUUCAUGUAUCGCUUUGUUUGACAAGGAAAGCAAUUACCAUUGCUGCAAAUGCACCAUAAUAAGACAAAUAGCUAUUUUUCAUCCUCGGACCCUGGACAAUUAAAUAUAAAUAUCACAAUAAAUGUACUUUGUACAAACAAAUAGGCUACAUUAGGUGAGAUUUAAAGUUUAACAAAGAAAAAAACAUUUAAAUUGGAGUAUAUCAAACAAUAUGUUGGAUUUACAUGACAACAUUAAAAGAUUACAGUUGGUACAAAAUGCGGCUGCUAGACUUUUGACAAGAACAAGAAAGUUUGAUCAUAUUACGCCUGUACUGGCUCACCUGCACUGGCUUCCUGUGCACUUAAGAUGUGACUUUAAGGUUUUACUACUUACGUAUAAAAUACUACACGGUCUAGCUCCAGCCUAUCUUGCCGAUUGUAUUGUACCGUAUGUCCCAGCAAGAAAUCUGCGUUCAAAAGACUCCGGCUUAUUAGUGAUUC